UGUGAUAUGUUGUGUUUUUUUUAUUUUACUGUAAAUGAUUUGUUAGCAUUAAAUGCGAUGUACGAUGGUAAAUAUGUCAAAUCUUAGUUGAUUCUUUCUAAAGAGUUUGAAUCUUACGAAAAACGCACUCUCCUAUUUUUCUAUUUGUUUUUAGGAAGCAGUUCUGAUUGGUACAUCACCGAAAGUCCAGCAUUUGGCUCUAGCGAUAAGCCUGCCUGCUUGGCUCACUCGAUUCGAUUAACCAGAAAGUUUACAUUUUUCUACGUA
This 267-nucleotide long non-coding RNA is filed under the name Brachypodium distachyon (stiff brome). RNAcentral describes it as "long non-coding RNA (BDIS_LNC001268)". The record is from RNAcentral. Lineage: Eukaryota; Viridiplantae; Streptophyta; Magnoliopsida; Poales; Poaceae.